This 117-nucleotide signal recognition particle RNA is filed under the name Nomascus leucogenys (northern white-cheeked gibbon). Its description in RNAcentral is "Metazoan signal recognition particle RNA". It matches the Rfam family "Metazoan signal recognition particle RNA". From Rfam's summary of the family: The signal recognition particle (SRP) is a universally conserved ribonucleoprotein. It is involved in the co-translational targeting of proteins to membranes. Lineage: Eukaryota; Metazoa; Chordata; Mammalia; Primates; Hylobatidae. The record is from Rfam by way of RNAcentral.
GCCAGGCAUGGUGGCUCAUGCCUGUAAUCCCAGCACUUUGGGAGGCCGAGGCGGGUGGAUCACCUGAGGCCAGGAGUUCAAGACCAGCCUGGCCAACAUGGUGAAACCCCGUCUCUA